This 253-nucleotide ribosomal RNA is filed under the name uncultured bacterium. RNAcentral's name for it is "partial 16S ribosomal RNA". It matches the Rfam family "Bacterial small subunit ribosomal RNA", at positions 524 to 776 of the family's 1533-position model. The record is from RNAcentral.
UACGUAGGGUGCGAGCGUUAAUCGGAAUUACUGGGCGUAAAGUGUGCGCAGGCGGCCGCGCAAGUCGAGUGUGAAAGCCCCGGGCUUAACUUGGGAAUUGCGCUCGAAACUACGUGGCUGGAGUGUGGCAGAGGAAGGUGGAAUUCCAGGUGUAGCGGUGAAAUGCGUAGAUGUCUGGAGGAACACCGGUGGCGAAGGCGGCAUCCUGGACCAACACUGACGCUGAGGAGCGAAAGCCAGGGGAGCAAACGGG